RNAcentral lists this transfer RNA (83 nucleotides) under Xenopus tropicalis (tropical clawed frog). RNAcentral's name for it is "tRNA-Leu (TAA) (tRNA-Leu-TAA-12-1)". It matches the Rfam family "tRNA". From Rfam's summary of the family: Transfer RNA (tRNA) molecules are approximately 80 nucleotides in length. Their secondary structure includes four short double-helical elements and three loops (D, anti-codon, and T loops). The record is from RNAcentral. Lineage: Eukaryota; Metazoa; Chordata; Amphibia; Anura; Pipidae.
ACCAGGAUGGCCGAGUGGUUAAGGCGUUGGACUUAAGGUCCAAUGGAUGUAUAUCCGCGUGGGUUCAAACCCCACUCCUGGUA